AUUUCUUUUGUUUGUUUACGAUAAUGUGGUCUAUACUUAUUUUGUUUGCUGGUGUUCCAGAGAGUCACCGAUGCCGAUCUAAUAGCAUUGGUUUCAGAUGAAGUUUUUCAACCGGAAGUUGUUUGGAAGCUUGAUGAUUUGCAGGUUACUUGUGGAACUCUUGGCCUUUCUACUGCCACGGUUAAACUCAUUGAUGCUGCUGGGGUGGAGCAUGUUGCGUGCUCAGUUGGAACCGGGCCAGUAGAUUCAGCUUAUAAAGCUAUUGAUCUCAUUACAAAGGAACCAAUAACACUACUCGAGUACUCCAUGAAUGCUGUUACAGAAGGCAUUGAUGCAAUCGCCACCACUCGUGUUCUAAUUCGUACCGAGAAUAGUCAUGUUUUAACUCAUGCUUUGACGGGUGAAACUGUUCAUCGAACAUUUAGUGGAACCGGGGCAGGAAUGGAUAUCGUUGUUUCGAGUGUGAAGGCUUAUAUUGGUGCAUUAAAUAAGAUGUUGGGUUUCAAGGA
Molecule: long non-coding RNA, 509 nt
Organism: Hibiscus syriacus
Lineage: Eukaryota; Viridiplantae; Streptophyta; Magnoliopsida; Malvales; Malvaceae
Exons: 4
Source: RefSeq, a predicted model, not a curated record